This is a long non-coding RNA of Acyrthosiphon pisum (pea aphid), 698 nucleotides long. RefSeq lists it as uncharacterized. Lineage: Eukaryota; Metazoa; Arthropoda; Insecta; Hemiptera; Aphididae. The transcript is spliced from 2 exons. The record is from RefSeq and is a predicted model, not a curated record.
UUAGAACAAACAAAUAAUAAAGUAGAUGCAGAAGUGGCUGGUACUGGUACAGAUGGCAUAGUCUCUGGCAUUGGCAGGAAGUUGAAACAAGCACUUGGAGAUAAAUGUCGCAUAACAGCACCUGAUCCUAAUGGUAGCAUCUUAUCACUGCCUGAAAGCUUAAUGAAACAGAUAUACAGAUGGCAUUGAUUUUUAUUUUGUGACAAAAGUGUUGGGGUUCCUAACUAUUCGCUAUAGUCUACGUCAAACUAACUGGCAGAUGGUGAUAGUACCCACAACAAGACGUUUUAAAGCUGGUACUACAAAUUUAUUUGACACUCCAUACCUAUACCAAUACCGGUUCGUUAACUCUAUUAAAUUUCGAUGUUGGUCAUUUAUUUUCUAAUUAUAUUAUAUUAUUAUGAGAAUUUAUUUUUUUUUCACAGUGUUAAACAACUCUGUAAAUGUUUGUGUAAAUCAAAAUACUAGGAGAGUUUUUGACUUAAAAAUAUUGUAACUUGAUAUAAAACUGUUUUUUUUCCAGUUAAAUUAUGUUACGCGGGAGUGAUAACGAUGUGGAUAUUAUCAACAAUUUGUUAUUGUUAUUUUUUCAUGGAGCUUGUAUAUGUUGGCUUCGGUAAUCGGAAAAAAAGUUUAGUGAAAAAUAUACCGAAAAUCUUACUCUUGUACAAUUCUACAGUUGUGCUUUGUAUUUUAGG